CUGUUUAACAAAAACAUUUCUUCUUAAUAAAUUAAGAAGUAAGCCCUGUUCCAUGAAUAUUAAAUAACCGCAAGAUUUAAUUGUGCAAAGGUAGCAUAAUAAUUUUCUUCUUAAUUGGAAGGUUGGAUGAAUGGGUAAACAAGAUAUUAACUGUGUCUAUGUAAAUUUAAAAUUUUAAAUAAAGGUAAAAAUGCUUUUUAAAUUUAAAGGGACGACAAGACCCUGGGAACUUAUUAUAUAUAAAAAACUUUUUCAAAUAUUUUAACUGGGGCGGUUAUUAUUAAAAACAAAAUUCAAAUAAACAUAUGUUUGGAUUUUUUGAUGGUAAUUUAAAUAAAAAGAAAUAAAGUUACCCCAGGGAUAACAGCGUAAUAAUUUUAGAGAGCUCAUAUCUAAGAAAUCUGUUGCGACCUCGAUGUUGAAUUAAAUAUACCGUUUGGAGUAGAAAAUAAACAAGGUGAGUUUGUUCAACUCUUAAAUAUUUACAUGAUCUGAGUUCAGACCGG
This 506-nucleotide ribosomal RNA is filed under the name Anilocra sp. 1_Cy110054. RNAcentral's name for it is "partial 16S ribosomal RNA". It matches the Rfam family "Bacterial large subunit ribosomal RNA", at positions 1800 to 2619 of the family's 2925-position model. Lineage: Eukaryota; Metazoa; Arthropoda; Malacostraca; Isopoda; Cymothoidae. The record is from RNAcentral.